AUCAUGGCUCAGGACGAACGCUGGCGGCGUGCCUAAUACAUGCAAGUCGAACGAACUCUGGUAUUGAUUGGUGCUUGCAUCAUGAUUUACAUUUGAGUGAGUGGCGAACUGGUGAGUAACACGUGGGAAACCUGCCCAGAAGCGGGGGAUAACACCUGGAAACAGAUGCUAAUACCGCAUAACAACUUGGACCGCAUGGUCCGAGCUUGAAAGAUGGCUUCGGCUAUCACUUUUGGAUGGUCCCGCGGCGUAUUAGCUAGAUGGUGGGGUAACGGCUCACCAUGGCAAUGAUACGUAGCCGACCUGAGAGGGUAAUCGGCCACAUUGGGACUGAGACACGGCCCAAACUCCUACGGGAGGCAGCAGUAGGGAAUCUUCCACAAUGGACGAAAGUCUGAUGGAGCAACGCCGCGUGAGUGAAGAAGGGUUUCGGCUCGUAAAACUCUGUUGUUAAAGAAGAACAUAUCUGAGAGUAACUGUUCAGGUAUUGACGGUAUUUAACCAGAAAGCCACGGCUAACUACGUGCCAGCAGCCGCGGUAAUACGUAGGUGGCAAGCGUUGUCCGGAUUUAUUGGGCGUAAAGCGAGCGCAGGCGGUUUUUUAAGUCUGAUGUGAAAGCCUUCGGCUCAACCGAAGAAGUGCAUCGGAAACUGGGAAACUUGAGUGCAGAAGAGGACAGUGGAACUCCAUGUGUAGCGGUGAAAUGCGUAGAUAUAUGGAAGAACACCAGUGGCGAAGGCGGCUGUCUGGUCUGUAACUGACGCUGAGGCUCGAAAGUAUGGGUAGCAAACAGGAUUAGAUACCCUGGUAGUCCAUACCGUAAACGAUGAAUGCUAAGUGUUGGAGGGUUUCCGCCCUUCAGUGCUGCAGCUAACGCAUUAAGCAUUCCGCCUGGGGAGUACGGCCGCAAGGCUGAAACUCAAAGGAAUUGACGGGGGCCCGCACAAGCGGUGGAGCAUGUGGUUUAAUUCGAAGCUACGCGAAGAACCUUACCAGGUCUUGACAUACUAUGCAAAUCUAAGAGAUUAGACGUUCCCUUCGGGGACAUGGAUACAGGUGGUGCAUGGUUGUCGUCAGCUCGUGUCGUGAGAUGUUGGGUUAAGUCCCGCAACGAGCGCAACCCUUAUUAUCAGUUGCCAGCAUUAAGUUGGGCACUCUGGUGAGACUGCCGGUGACAAACCGGAGGAAGGUGGGGAUGACGUCAAAUCAUCAUGCCCCUUAUGACCUGGGCUACACACGUGCUACAAUGGAUGGUACAACGAGUUGCGAACUCGCGAGAGUAAGCUAAUCUCUUAAAGCCAUUCUCAGUUCGGAUUGUAGGCUGCAACUCGCCUACAUGAAGUCGGAAUCGCUAGUAAUCGCGGAUCAGCAUGCCGCGGUGAAUACGUUCCCGGGCCUUGUACACACCGCCCGUCACACCAUGAGAGUUUGUAACACCCAAAGUCGGUGGGGUAACCUUUUAGGAACCAGCCGCCUAAGGUGGGACAGAUGAUUAGGGUGAAGUCGUAACAAGGUAGCCGUAGGAGAACCUGCGGUUGGAUCA
RNAcentral lists this ribosomal RNA (1544 nucleotides) under Lactiplantibacillus plantarum. RNAcentral describes it as "Lactobacillus plantarum 16S ribosomal RNA". It matches the Rfam family "Bacterial small subunit ribosomal RNA". The record is from RNAcentral. Lineage: Bacteria; Bacillati; Bacillota; Bacilli; Lactobacillales; Lactobacillaceae.